UUGCCUGCUGGUUGCUGGUGCUCUGACGAGGUUGCACUACUGUGCUCUGAGAAGCAGUGCAAUGAUAUUGUCAAAGCAUCUGGGACCAGCCUUG
Molecule: microRNA precursor, 94 nt
Filed under: Nannospalax galili (Upper Galilee mountains blind mole rat)
Lineage: Eukaryota; Metazoa; Chordata; Mammalia; Rodentia; Spalacidae
Description: microRNA 301b (ENSNGAG00000006395.1)
Rfam family: mir-301 microRNA precursor family (bases 9-90)
Source: RNAcentral